UGGGGAAUAUUGCACAAUGGAGGAAACUCUGAUGCAGCGACGCCGCGUGAGUGAGGAAGUAUUUCGGUAUGUAAAGCUCUAUCAGCAGGGAAGAUAAUGACGGUACCUGAGUAAGAAGCACCGGCUAAAUACGUGCCAGCAGCCGCGGUAAUACGUAUGGUGCAAGCGUUAUCCGGAUUUACUGGGUGUAAAGGGAGUGCAGGCGGUCUUGCAAGUCAGAUGUGAAAAACCCAAGGCUCAACCAUGGGACUGCAUUUGAAACUGUGAGACUAGAGUAUCGGAGAGGUAAGUGGAAUUCCUAGUGUAGCGGUGAAAUGCGUAGAUAUUAGGAAGAACACCAGUGGCGAAGGCGGCUUACUGGACGAUUACUGACGCUGAGGCUCGAAAGCGUGGGGAGCAAACAGGAUUAGAUACCCUGGUAGU
RNAcentral lists this ribosomal RNA (423 nucleotides) under uncultured Lachnospiraceae bacterium. RNAcentral's name for it is "bacterial SSU rRNA". It matches the Rfam family "Bacterial small subunit ribosomal RNA", at positions 355 to 794 of the family's 1533-position model. Lineage: Bacteria; Bacillati; Bacillota; Clostridia; Lachnospirales; Lachnospiraceae. The record is from RNAcentral.